GGAGGGGCCAGCCGCGCUCGGCCUGGACCCAGCUCCUCCGGGGACGGUCCCCACGCGGCUCUGAGCUCGCGGCGGCUGCACCGGCCCCGCGAGGGGAGUGCGGGGCGCACGGCUUGAUAGAAGAAAAAUAGCCAGAAGUCUUUGGAGAACACGUCGGGUAAAGGAAAUAGAUGACCACCCAUUCAUUCCAUCGGGAAGCGAGAAGGCGACUGAACACUGGGCCCACAUGCCUGGGUUCAUAUCCCAGCUCAGUCAGAUCAAGAAUGAGGGAUGAGGAGUUCC
This is a long non-coding RNA of Phacochoerus africanus (Common warthog), 282 nucleotides long. RefSeq lists it as uncharacterized. The transcript has 3 exons. The record is from RefSeq and is a predicted model, not a curated record. NCBI's taxonomy places the organism in Eukaryota, Metazoa, Chordata, Mammalia, Artiodactyla, Suidae.